AUGCUUGUUUCGGCAGCACAUAUAAUAAAAUUGGAAUGUUACAGAGAUUAGCAUGGCCCCUGCACAAGGGUGACACAUAAAUUCGUGAGGCAUAAGAAAAAAAA
This 104-nucleotide small nuclear RNA is filed under the name Propithecus coquereli (Coquerel's sifaka). The record is from RNAcentral. Lineage: Eukaryota; Metazoa; Chordata; Mammalia; Primates; Indriidae.